Molecule: ribosomal RNA, 414 nt
Filed under: uncultured Planctomycetota bacterium
Lineage: Bacteria; Pseudomonadati; Planctomycetota
Description: uncultured planctomycete partial 16S ribosomal RNA
Source: RNAcentral
GACCAUACUCCCCAGGNGGAGUACUUAACACUUUCGCUUCAACUGAAGGGCUAUGGAGGGCCCUUCAAUUCAGUACUCAUAGUUUACGGCUAGGACUACCGGGGUAUCUAAUCCCGUUUGCUCCCCUAGCUUUCGUGCAUCAGCGUCAGAAAAGACCCAGUGAGCCGCUUUCGCCACGGGUGUUCCUUANNAUAUCAACGCAUUUCACCGCUCCACUGUAAGUUCCGCUCACCUCUAUCUUCCUCAAGUACGGUAGUUUUNAGCGCAGUUCCUCGGUUGAGCCGAGGGAUUUCACACCCNACUUUCCGCACCGCCUACGCACCCCUUAAGCCCAGUNAUUCCGAAUAACGUUCGUGUGGNUCGUCUUGCCGCGGCUGCUGGCACGAACUUANCCCACACUUCCUCUGCGGAUAG